AUGCAUGGUGAGGACUAUGAUUGGAAGCAUUCUCCUGUUGAACCACAAGCCCUUUAUGAAGUUGGUGGUAGGAAGCCGCACGGAAAAUGGCCACUAUUGAAUGGUGUUGUGGAGGGUAAAGAGGCUCUUAGGGAGCAUCCCUUCAAGGAAUUCCAGGGCCUGAGAUUCCAUGCAUUGUUAUACCCCCACCUCCAGCUUUUUCAACUUUAA
This 210-nucleotide ribosomal RNA is filed under the name Triticum aestivum (bread wheat). Its description in RNAcentral is "partial small subunit ribosomal RNA". Lineage: Eukaryota; Viridiplantae; Streptophyta; Magnoliopsida; Poales; Poaceae. The record is from RNAcentral.